Molecule: long non-coding RNA, 202 nt
Filed under: Theobroma cacao (cacao)
Lineage: Eukaryota; Viridiplantae; Streptophyta; Magnoliopsida; Malvales; Malvaceae
Description: long non-coding RNA (TCAC_LNC003838)
Source: RNAcentral
ACACUCGUGGUUGUUCUAUGGGUUCAUCUGAGGCAUCUUGCUCACUCGAGGUCUUUAAGGCGGCUCUCAUUUUUGGUGGCAUUCUGUACUAAGACAAAGCAAGUACCAUGUUCAAAAUUUCAAAUCCAAAAUUGUCAAAAUUGUAAGUAGGCUCUUUUAAGGAUUUAAGAGUUUGUGCAAUGUUGUUAGUUCCUCAUGCGAG